UAUUCUACCCUACGGGGAAGGAUGAGAAGCUUCGACUAAGGUUCGACUCGAGCGCCAGCGAGAGAACGUUGCCGCAGGCAACGGCCCGAAGGGCGAGGAGCGAUAGCGACGAGUUAUCCUUCCCCCUCUAUUC
RNAcentral lists this small RNA (133 nucleotides) under Klebsiella variicola. RNAcentral's name for it is "RtT sRNA". It matches the Rfam family "RtT RNA". From Rfam's summary of the family: This family represents a bacterial cis-regulatory element known as RtT RNA. The exact function of RtT is unknown although it is thought that it may be involved in changing the cellular response in relation to amino acid starvation. Lineage: Bacteria; Pseudomonadati; Pseudomonadota; Gammaproteobacteria; Enterobacterales; Enterobacteriaceae. RNAcentral also lists the same sequence under 8 other names. The record is from RNAcentral.